This 66-nucleotide transfer RNA is filed under the name Profundiconus teramachii. RNAcentral describes it as "tRNA-Trp". Lineage: Eukaryota; Metazoa; Mollusca; Gastropoda; Neogastropoda; Conidae. The record is from RNAcentral.
AAGGUUUUAAGUUAUAAAAACUAUAAGCCUUCAAAGCUUAAAAUAAAGAAAAUUCUUUAAACCUUG